This is a long non-coding RNA of Ictalurus punctatus (channel catfish), 1310 nucleotides long. RefSeq lists it as uncharacterized. The transcript has 2 exons. The record is from RefSeq and is a predicted model, not a curated record. NCBI's taxonomy places the organism in Eukaryota, Metazoa, Chordata, Actinopteri, Siluriformes, Ictaluridae.
AACAUUAACUUGCCAUACAUUGCUUGCUUACAUGUUUACACCAAGAUCUGUAAACAAGUUAUUUUUGUCCAUAUGAUCAUGUGUAGAGAUAGUAAGUGAUGAGAAGAUAAGAAUGGGCUGAUUGUUCUGACUCGUACAAGCCCCUAUGAAAGAAUUGACCACAAGGGGGUACACUCUGAACAAUUAUUUACAUUUGCAGUUUGUUAAAGAUUAAAUAAACCACAGUGAGCAUCAGAUGUCUGGUUUUAAUACAAAGUGGACUAUUUUAUGAUAUUACCAUCUUGUCAUUUAUCAAAGAAGAACUCCAAAACCUGAAAUUUGUUCAUUUUUAGACAGAAAAAUUCUGCAGUGUAGCUGUUCUAGUGGGCUUUCACCCUGGAAGUUUAGUCCAAAACAGAGCAGUUUGCAUGAAAAGUUGGUAAUGUGACCGUCGUAAUGUGGACCGGGAAGUGCACUGCGGUACCGAACCCGAGACUACCUGUAGAAGGUGGUCCGAGUUCAGUUACACUGGAACUGUGAAUUGUCCCAUGAAUGUGAACGUAACUUGUAUCCAGGUCCGCACUUAUUCAGGAAGUAGAGUAACCUGUGCUGAAGGCCUGUUGUGGUGAUGAUGUGUCAUGACACGUUUUGGCCCAAAUCUGCAGUAACUUUGAAAAAGUGGAAGCUCCUCUGAAUAUUGUGGAGUUUCUUGAUUUUGCGUUAAUUUCUGUGAUCACAAAAUGGUGAAAUUCUGGACUGACACAUGGAAGAUAUGGAAUGAUAACAGAAGAAUGUGACUUUGGGUUGUACCGUGUAUUUUUUUCAUGUAGCUUUAUUAUUUAGUAUAAAUGAAGGCAAGUGUGUGUUCUGUUCUUCAUCUCUGCAGUCGUGUGUUCCCUGAUAGUCACUGAUUGCUGGAGCUCUGGAAAUAGCAGGUGAGAUUGCAGGCCGGAGUCCCGUCGCUGUCCAGGGAACCAAAAUCAACCUCCUCUACUCCUGAGACCACAGUGUGACUGAGAGCCUAGACUACAUGGCUACUUGGAACAUGAACAUGUUGCAGACACAGGAUCUUAUGAAGUCAGCGCAGGAAGCCCUGGAAAAGAAGAGUCCGAAAAACGUGCCCUUCUCCAAGCUUUAAAGGAGAAGAUCCAGGGCUGUUGAAGCUCUGGUGGAACUGUUGUGGAUAAAAAAUGUCAUAAAAUAAACAUAAGGGAGAAGAAGGAAAAAUGGGCACCUUGACACGUAGAAGCGGGAUUAGGCGGACAUUGACAGAUUGGAAUUACGAGCAAUUUAAGAGCAGUAAUAGUCAAAAAAAAAAAGUCAAAAAGAAG